Molecule: ribosomal RNA, 413 nt
Filed under: uncultured bacterium
Lineage: Bacteria
Description: bacterial SSU rRNA
Rfam family: Bacterial small subunit ribosomal RNA
Source: RNAcentral
UUAACCGGAUUAGAUACCCUGGUAGUCCACGCCGUAAACGAUGUCGACUUGGAGGUUGUGCCCUUGAGGCGUGGCUUCCGGAGCUAACGCGUUAAGUCGACCGCCUGGGGAGUACGGCCGCAAGGUUAAAACUCAAAUGAAUUGACGGGGGCCCGCACAAGCGGUGGAGCAUGUGGUUUAAUUCGAUGCAACGCGAAGAACCUUACCUGGUCUUGACAUCCACAGAACUUUCCAGAGAUGGAUUGGUGCCUUCGGGAACUGUGAGACAGGUGCUGCAUGGCUGUCGUCAGCUCGUGUUGUGAAAUGUUGGGUUAAGUCCCGCAACGAGCGCAACCCUUAUCCUUUGUUGCCAGCGGUCCGGCCGGGAACUCAAAGGAGACUGCCAGUGAUAAACUGGAGGAAGGUGGGGAUGA